This is a long non-coding RNA of Hibiscus syriacus, 188 nucleotides long. RefSeq lists it as uncharacterized. The record is from RefSeq and is a predicted model, not a curated record. The transcript has 4 exons. Lineage: Eukaryota; Viridiplantae; Streptophyta; Magnoliopsida; Malvales; Malvaceae.
GAGAAUCCAGAAAGAGUAUCAGGAGGUUGUUGAGCGACGUAUUUUCACAGUGACGGGCACAAGACCAGAUGAAGAGACAAUUGAAAGAUUGAUUGCAACUGGAGAUAGCGAACAAAUAUUCGAGAAACUAAUUCAGGAGCAGGGACGGGGCCAGAUAAUGAUCACCAUGUUUGAAAUUCAAGAGCGCC